Molecule: ribosomal RNA, 173 nt
Filed under: uncultured Desulfotomaculum sp.
Lineage: Bacteria; Bacillati; Bacillota; Clostridia; Eubacteriales; Desulfotomaculaceae
Description: partial 16S ribosomal RNA
Rfam family: Bacterial small subunit ribosomal RNA
Source: RNAcentral
UCCUACGGGAGGCAGCAGUGGGGAAUAUUCCGCAAUGGGCGCAAGCCUGACGGAGCAACGCCGCGUGAGGGAAGAAGGCCUUCGGGUUGUAAACCUUUGUUCUAUGGGAAGAAAGAAAUGACGGUACCAUAGGAGGAAGCCCCGGCUAACUACGUGCCAGCAGCCGCGGUAAU